AUUUAAAAAAAAAAAAAACAGCAUUGCUGCUAAAUUAUACAUAUUAACAAACUACUUCCUCAAGUAUCUACAAUGCCAAUUUACAAAGAGAGAGAGAGAGAGAGGAGGAGAAAGGGAGAGAUAAAAACAGAAAAGUAUGAGGAAUUUGAGGCUUUGUUGGAUACCAGGGUAUGUAUGUUCCUUGGGGGUUGUUCUCUGUUAACUGGGACCAGUUCCUUGGGGGUUGUUCUCUGUUAACUGGGACCAGUUCCUUGGGGGUUGUUCUCUGUUAACUGGGACCAGUUCCUUGGGGGUUGUUCUCUGUUAACUGGGACCAGUUCCUUGGGGGUUGUUCUCUGUUAACUGGGACCAGUUCCUUGGGGGUUGUUCUCUGUUAACUGGGACCAGUUCCUUGGGGGUUGUUCUCUGUUAACUGGGACCAGUUCCUUGGGGGUUGUUCUCUGUUAACUGGGACCAGUUCCUUGGGGGUUGUUCUCUGUUAACUGGGACCAGUUCCUUGGGGGUUGUUCUCUGUUAACUGGGACCAGUUCCUUGGGGGUUGUUCUCUGUUAACUGGGACCAGUUCCUUGGGGGUUGUUCUCUGUUAACUGGGACCAGUUCCUUGGGGGUUGUUCUCUGUUAACUGGGACCAGUUCCUUGGGGGUUGUUCUCUGUUAACUGGGACCAGUUCCUUGGGGGUUGUUCUCUGUUAACUGGGACCAGUUCCUUGGGGGUUGUUCUCUGUUAACUGGGACCAGUUCCUUGGGGGUUGUUCUCUGUUAACUGGGACCAGUUCCUUGGGGGUUGUUCUCUGUUAACUGGGACCAGUUCCUUGGGGGUUGUUCUCUGUUAACUGGGACCAGUUCCUUGGGGGUUGUUCUCUGUUAACUGGGACCAGUUCCUUGGGGGUUGUUCUCUGUUAACUGGGACCAGUUCCUUGGGGGUUGUUCUCUGUUAACUGGGACCAGUUCCUUGGGGGUUGUUCUCUGUUAACUGGGACCAGUUCCUUGGGGGUUGUUCUCUGUUAACUGGGACCAGUUCCUUGGGGGUUGUUCUCUGUUAACUGGGACCAGUUCCUUGGGGGUUGUUCUCUGUUAACUGGGACCAGUUCCUUGGGGGUUGUUCUCUGUUAACUGGGACCAGUUCCUUGGGGGUUGUUCUCUGUUAACUGGGACCAGUUCCUUGGGGGUUGUUCUCUGUUAACUGGGACCAGUUCCUUGGGGGUUGUUCUCUGUUAACUGGGACCAGUUCCUUGGGGGUUGUUCUCUGUUAACUGGGACCAGUUCCUUGGGGGUUGUUCUCUGUUAACUGGGACCAGUUCCUUGGGGGUUGUUCUCUGUUAACUGGGACCAGUUCCUUGGGGGUUGUUCUCUGUUAACUGGGACCAGUUCCUUGGGGGUUGUUCUCUGUUAACUGGGACCAGUUCCUUGGGGGUUGUUAACUGGGACCAGUUCCUUGGGGGUUGUUAACUGGGACCAGUUCCUUGGGGGUUGUUCUCUGUUAACUGGGACCAGUUCCUUGGGGGUUGUUCUCUGUUAACUGGGACCAGUUCCUUGGGGGUUGUUCUCUGUUAACUGGGACCAGUUCCUUGGGGGUUGUUCUCUGUUAACUGGGACCAGUUCCUUGGGGGUUGUUCUCUGUUAACUGGGACCAGUUCCUUGGGGGUUGUUCUCUGUUAACUGGGACCAGUUCCUUGGGGGUUGUGUGAUGACAUGACAGAAUAGGAGGGGCAAGCAGGGGUUUGGUCACCUGUUGGACAGAUUUUAAAAGGUGUCACCAGGCAAGGGGCAUGAUGUAAUGAGGAGGAGAGUAGAGGACAGGGUACAGGGACCCCCCCAGGUAGAGGACAGGGUACAGGGUACAGGGACCCCCCCAGGUAGAGGACAGGGGACUGGUUGAACAUACUGGACCCCCCAGGUAGAGGACAGGGGACUGGUUGAACAUACUGGACCCCCCCAGGUAGAGGACAGGGGACUGGUUGAACAUACUGGACCCCCCCAGGUAGAGGACAGGGUACAGGGACCCCCCCAGGUAGAGGACAGGGUACAGGGUACAGGGACCCCCCCAGGUAGAGGACAGGGGACUGGUUGAACAUACUGGACCCCCCCAGGUAGAGGACAGGGUACAGGGUACUGGGACCCCCUGCCAGCAUCUCUAUCUGUAGAGGGAUUCACUGUAUGAGGUCACAGAAAAACUCAUC
Non-coding RNA from Salmo salar (Atlantic salmon), 2179 nucleotides. The record is from RefSeq and is a predicted model, not a curated record. Lineage: Eukaryota; Metazoa; Chordata; Actinopteri; Salmoniformes; Salmonidae.